This 253-nucleotide ribosomal RNA is filed under the name uncultured bacterium. RNAcentral describes it as "partial 16S ribosomal RNA". It matches the Rfam family "Bacterial small subunit ribosomal RNA", at positions 524 to 776 of the family's 1533-position model. The record is from RNAcentral.
UACGUAGGGUGCAAGCGUUGUCCGGAAUUAUUGGGCGUAAAGAGCUCGUAGGCGGUUUGUCGCGUCUGCUGUGAAAACUCGGGGCUUAACCCCGGGCCUGCAGUGGGUACGGGCAGACUAGAGUGCGGUAGGGGAGACUGGAAUUCCUGGUGUAGCGGUGAAAUGCGCAGAUAUCAGGAGGAACACCGGUGGCGAAGGCGGGUCUCUGGGCCGUAACUGACGCUGAGACGCGAAAGCGUGGGGAGCAAACAGG